GAUGCAGNGUAAAACUCUAAAAGCGGUCUCAGUUCGGAUUGAAGGCUGAAAUUCGCCUUCAUGAAGCUGGAAUUGCUAGUAAUGGCAGGUCAGCAUACUGCCGUGAAUACGUUCCCGGGCCUUGUACACACCGCCCGUCAAACCAUGAGAGUUGGCAACACCCGAAGUCGGUAGUCUAACCGCAAGGAGGACGCCGCCGAAGGUGGGGUCGAUGAUUAGGGUUAAGUCGUAACAAGGUACC
Molecule: ribosomal RNA, 241 nt
Filed under: uncultured bacterium
Lineage: Bacteria
Description: partial 16S ribosomal RNA
Rfam family: Bacterial small subunit ribosomal RNA
Source: RNAcentral